Molecule: ribosomal RNA, 440 nt
Filed under: uncultured bacterium
Lineage: Bacteria
Description: partial 16S ribosomal RNA
Rfam family: Bacterial small subunit ribosomal RNA
Source: RNAcentral
CCUACGGGUGGCAGCAGUGGGGAAUAUUGCACAAUGGGGGAAACCCUGAUGCAGCGACGCCGCGUGAGCGAAGCAGUAUUUCGGUAUGUAAAGCUCUAUCAGCAGGGAAGAAAAUGACGGUACCUGACUAAGAAGCCCCGGCUAACUACGGGCCAGCAGCCGCGGGAAUACGUAGGGGGCAAGCGUUAUCCGGAGUCACUGGGUGUAAAGGGGGCGUAGACGGCCAUGCAAGCCUGUAGUGAAAGCCCGGGGGCCAACCCCGGGACUGCUCUGGGAACCGUCCGGCUGGAGUGCGGGCGGGGCAGGCGGAAUUCCUGGUGUAGCGGUGAAAUGCGUAGAUAUCAGGAGGAACACCGGCGGCGAAGGCGGCCUGCUGGACCGCGACUGACGUUGAGGCUCGAAAGCGUGGGGAGCGAACAGGAUUAGAUACCCCAGUAGUC